AAAGAAGCAUCUUCUUAUUUUUAAAAGACCUAGCAAUAGUGUAUGCUUAGGGAAGAGCUUGCGUCACAUUAGUUAGUUGGUGGGGUAAUGGCCUACCAAGACGAUGAUGUGUAGCCGGGCUGAGAGGUCGAACGGCCACAUUGGGACUGAGACACGGCCCAAACUCCUACGGGAGGCAGCAGUAAGGAAUUUUCGGCAAUGGAGGAAACUCUGACCGAGCAAUGCCGCGUGAACGAUGAAGUAUUUCGGUACGUAAAGUUCUUUUAUUAGGGAAGAAAAGAUGGUGGAAAAACCAUUAUGACGGUACCUAAUGAAUAAGCCCCGGCUAACUAUGUGCCAGCAGCCGCGGUAAUACAUAGGGGGCAAGCGUUAUCCGGAAUUAUUGGGCGUAAAGGGUGCGUAGGCGGUUAAAUAAGUUUAUGGUCUAAGUGCAACGCUCAACGUUGUGAUGCUAUAAAAACUGUUUAGCUAGAGUUGGAUAGAGGCAAGUGGAAUUCCGUGUGUAGUGGUAAAAUGCGUAAAUAUACGGAGGAACACCAGAAGCGAAGGCGGCUUGCUGGGUCUC
This 565-nucleotide ribosomal RNA is filed under the name Candidatus Phytoplasma solani. RNAcentral's name for it is "bacterial SSU rRNA". It matches the Rfam family "Bacterial small subunit ribosomal RNA", at positions 182 to 737 of the family's 1533-position model. Lineage: Bacteria; Bacillati; Mycoplasmatota; Mollicutes; Acholeplasmatales; Acholeplasmataceae. The record is from RNAcentral.